CCUACGGGUGGCAGCAGUGGGGGAUAUUGCACAAUGGGCGAAAGCCUGAUGCAGCGACGCCGCGUGAGGGAAGACGGUCUUCGGAUUGUAAACCUCUGUCUUUGGGGAAGAAUAGAGACGGUACCCAAAGAGGAAGCUCCGGCUAACUACGUGCCAGCAGCCGCGGUAAUACGUGGGGAGCGAGCGUUGUCCGGAAUUACUGGGUGAAAAGGGGGGGUAGGAGGGGUUGUAAGUUGAAUGUAUAAUCCACCGGCUCAACCGGUGAUCGCGUUCAAAACUGCAGGUCUUGAGUGAAGUAGAGGCAGGUGGAAUUCCUAGUGUAGCGGUGAAAUGCGUAGAUAUUAGGAGGAACACCAGUGGCGAAGGCGGCCUGCUGGGCUUUAACUGACGCUGAGGCUCGAAAGCGUGGGUAGCAAACAGGAUUAGAUACCCGGGUAGUC
Molecule: ribosomal RNA, 440 nt
Filed under: uncultured bacterium
Lineage: Bacteria
Description: partial 16S ribosomal RNA
Rfam family: Bacterial small subunit ribosomal RNA
Source: RNAcentral